GCUCAGGACGAACGCUGGCGGCGUGCUUAACACAUGCAAGUCGAACGCUGAAGCUUGGUGCUUGCACUGGGUGGAUGAGUGGCGAACGGGUGAGUAAUACGUGAGUAACCUGCCCUUGACUCUGGGAUAAGCCUGGGAAACUGGGUCUAAUACUGGAUAUGACAUGUCACUGCAUGGUGGCGUGUGGAAAGGGUUUUACUGGUUUUGGAUGGGCUCACGGCCUAUCAGCUUGUUGGUGGGGUAAUGGCCCACCAAGGCGACGACGGGUAGCCGGCCUGAGAGGGUGACCGGCCACACUGGGACUGAGACACGGCCCAGACUCCUACGGGAGGCAGCAGUGGGGAAUAUUGCACAAUGGGCGAAAGCCUGAUGCAGCGACGCCGCGUGAGGGAUGACGGCCUUCGGGUUGUAAACCUCUUUCAGCACGGAAGAAGCGAGAGUGACGGUACGUGCAGAAGAAGCGCCGGCUAACUACGUGCCAGCAGCCGCGGUAAUACGUAGGGCGCAAGCGUUGUCCGGAAUUAUUGGGCGUAAAGAGCUCGUAGGCGGUUUGUCGCGUCUGCUGUGAAAGCCCGGGGCUUAACCCCGGGUGUGCAGUGGGUACGGGCAGACUUGAGUGCAGUAGGGGAGACUGGAAUUCCUGGUGUAGCGGUGAAAUGCGCAGAUAUCAGGAAGAACACCGAUGGCGAAGGCAGGUCUCUGGGCUGUUACUGACGCUGAGGAGCGAAAGCAUGGGGAGCGAACAGGAUUA
This 751-nucleotide ribosomal RNA is filed under the name Kocuria sp. RNAcentral describes it as "bacterial SSU rRNA". It matches the Rfam family "Bacterial small subunit ribosomal RNA", at positions 22 to 780 of the family's 1533-position model. Lineage: Bacteria; Bacillati; Actinomycetota; Actinomycetes; Micrococcales; Micrococcaceae. The record is from RNAcentral.